Molecule: non-coding RNA, 146 nt
Filed under: pig gut metagenome
Description: FMN riboswitch (RFN element)
Rfam family: FMN riboswitch aptamer (RFN element)
About the family: The RFN element is a highly conserved domain that is found frequently in the 5'-untranslated regions of prokaryotic mRNAs that encode for flavin mononucleotide (FMN) biosynthesis and transport proteins. This element is a metabolite-dependent riboswitch that directly binds FMN in the absence of proteins. In Bacillus subtilis, the riboswitch most likely controls gene expression by causing premature transcription termination within the 5' untranslated region of the ribDEAHT operon and precluding access to the ribosome-binding site of ypaA mRNA.
Source: RNAcentral
AUCUUCAGGGCGGAGUGAAAGUCUCCACCGGCGGUGUUGGAACAACGGUUUUAUAUUAGUAAUAAAAGUUUCCUAAGCCCGCGAGCCGUAAGGCAGGAACCAGUGAGAUUCUGGUGCCGACAGUAUAGUCUGGAUGGAAGAAGAGG